RNAcentral lists this unclassified non-coding RNA (2727 nucleotides) under Hevea brasiliensis (rubber tree). The record is from RNAcentral. Lineage: Eukaryota; Viridiplantae; Streptophyta; Magnoliopsida; Malpighiales; Euphorbiaceae.
UAUAAAUCCUUUCUCUUGUUAUAGCCAAAUUUAUAUUAUUUUGAUAAUUAUAAUAAAAUAAUUAUUUAUCUCGUAAUCUAAUUUCAAAAUUUAAACAUUUGUUGGAGAUGAUAAUUAUCAUGAAUGCUUUAAUGCUUUACACUUGCAUAUUUUCUAAUUUUAAGCAAAAAUGUGGAGGACAAAGUAAAAUGAGAAUGAUAUAUUUGUAAAUUGGAAUUAAAAUGGGAUAAUCACAUAAUUAAUAACAAUAAAUAAACAUGACUACAAUAGUCACAACAUACCAAACCCACCCACUUAACUUAUUUCUCUAGAAAGCAAAGCCAACCCAACCCAAUUCAACUUCUUUCAUAUCAAAAACCAACUUGGAAUUUUAUGACAGGAAUGAAAGCUAUGUGAUUUGCGUCCUAUAUAUACAGACUGACCCGGCAUCAUUAAUGGAGAAUAGCCUAAAUAAUAACUCAUCUUCCAUGGAUGUAUCAAUACUACACACCAACGGCCUGUGCAACAGAUUUUGUGGUGUUCGAGUUCCCUUUUCCAUUUAAUGCUGACUUGUCCCUCACAGGUUUAUGAGAAUCUGGUGUCCCUUUAGCUGCAAUUCUGCCAUGCCUCGUGGCUUGAGCCCCAGUACCUCCCCCUCCACUGUUAGGCAGAGACAACCUCUUCUUUGCCUGUUUAUCCGAUUGUAUUGACCUCUCUUUUGGAUUGCUGCGAGAUCUUUGAGCAAUGCCAGGUCUUGAGUUGGCCUCUUCAGCCGCAUCUUCAAGAACUGGCUUCGCCUUUGGCUUAGCAAAAAGUGUGUUUGAUGCCUCUAGCUUGCUAGGAGAAGUACCACUGCCAUCAGAAUUGGAUGGACCAGUUUUCUGACUUGAAAAGUUUGAUUGCAGACUAGAUACAAAUGGUUUUUUGCCAGAAGACUUUAACUGGGGUUUGGUGCCAUUCUUGCCAUCAGCUGUUCCAUUUUCACGAAUCAUCACCCCAUCUUUCAGAUUUAUGUCAAGAAAACGAUUCUCCCAUGCACGGACAGCCAUCCAUCUCUCCAACCAGUUCCAUCCCCAACUACUUUUAUCUGGUACAAACCCAGCAGAAGCGGCCUGCUGUCUUGAUCCUGCCUGCCACUGAUGAGCCAAAGCAUAUGCCAUGGCUCUCUCACGCUUAGCUGCUGCCUCCUGCCUCUUUAGCAAUUUGGCUUGAAUUUGUUCAACUGAUCCUACACUGUCACACCACCCGUCCUCUAUUUCUCGAACCCAAGCCUCAUUUGCAAGUUGUUGCUGAAGUUUUUGUUGAGCUGUUUCACUUUCUAAUGCUAAGCGAACACGCCUUGCUCGGACUCGAGCCUGAACUCUCACUAAAGCUUGCAUGCAUCUAAGAGUUAUUGCAGCCUGCUUUCUCACAGCAUGGCCCCUUACAAGUGCUUGUAGUCUUACCAACCCCUUUAAAGCACGUAGAGCUCUUCUAGCCAGAAAUCCUCGAAAAGCUGUUUGGAUGCGCGUGGCAGCCCAUUCUUCUCUUAAUACUUGUUGAUUCUGAGGUACAUCCUGUACUUGAAAUGAAGCAGAAGGGGAUUCAGAAGCAUCUGGGACAGAAAGGAUGUUGGCAUCACCAACGGGUGCAGCAGCAUUAUCAUUAAACUCCUCUUGAAGUUUAUCAGCAUCAAUUUCAAUUGAAUGCUUUCUCCUAGGUCGGAACUUACUAGAUGCUGUCCUGUUGUCAUCCUUCUCUGAAGAUUGUGACUUUUCUGAUCUCUUUAAACCAACCAAUGCUUUAAUCCAUUUCCCAGAGACACCCAUAGUAGUGUCACUGUAGCUGAAACAAAUAUAGACCUUCUAAAUGAAAUCUCCAAAAUCAAAGACCUGUGAGCACCACUUUGAAAUAGUUACUUCAAUAACCAAGUUUGGACCGAAAACACCAAGCCAAACAGUGAAUCAACCUCCCCAUUCCUUGGACCUUGAAAACAUAACAUGACACAUGAAACUCAUAAUCUCUCAUCAACAGAAGAAAGGAAACUGACAAAAGAACGCACAUACCAAGAGGAAACAAGAAUAAAUUCACCAACCAAAAAAAUCAUAUCAAUAGCAAAUAGCAAUCAUUAACUCCCUCAUUGCAACCAACAGCAAUGAUUAUCUCAUAUCAACAACAGACGAGAUCUAAAUACCCAAAUUAUUUUGUCAAAUUGGAAUACCUCCAAAAUUCUCAACGUAGCAUUCUCAUUAGAGAGAGACAUAGCUAAUUAUCAUCCGUAUCUAACCUUAGAUAUAUCGAAACCCUAACUCCAUAAACUAAACAUCCAAACCAACAUAAAAAUCAAGCUUUAGCAACUAAAAUCCCUCAAAAUUUAAAGUUUCGGCAGCAUAAAAGAGUGAUAAAUGCGGACAAAAUCAAUCAAUUUUGGGUGAAUUGCAACGAAAAAAGACGCAAAAUAAGAAAUUAAACACCCAAACAAUGCAGAUCCAGAGAUCACCAGCUCCAAGAACAUAAUUCACCUCAAUCUCAACCACUCAGCUUGUGAAGAAGAAAGCAAGUACACAGAAUCAAGUAUCAACACCAAUAAGAACAGAGGGACAUAUCUUUCGGGCCAUUGAAAUAUCAAUUAGUCAACAAAAAGUCAAACCUCACUCACUCACGCACUAGCAGUAUCAAUUUACAGGACCAGAAUUGGAUUCAAAAGCUGUAAAACUAUAACGUCUCUCUCUCUCUCUCUCUAGCUUCUCUCUUUAGAAUAAUAAAUUA